CGAUAGAUGUGCAGUGUAAGGCUGGUCUUCAGGGAGACAUUACCCUGGUAGUUCAUCUAUAGAACUGUCCGAUACAUCUCAUGUGGAGUGUCAGGUCUGUCGGGUAGAUACAUUACCCUUGGAGUCAGUUUAAAGACUAGAUACACUAUGAUAAUGUGGAGUGUCAGGUCUGUCAAGGAGAGACAUUACCCCUGGAGUCAGUUUAAAGACUAGAUACACUAUGAUAAUGUGGAGUGGGGUGUCAGGUCUGUCAAGGAGAGACAUUACCCCUGGAGUCACUUUAAAGACUAGAUACACUAUGAUAAUGUGGAGUGUCAGGUCUGUGAAGGAGAGACAUUACCCCUGGAGUCAGUUUAAAGACUAGAUACACUAUGAUAAAGUGGAGUGUCAGGUCUGUCAAGGAGAGACAUUACCCCUGGAGUCACUUUAAAGACUAGAUACACUAUGAUAAUGUGGAGUGGGGUGUCAGGUCUGACAAGGAGAGACAUUACCCCUGGAGUCAGUUUAAAGACUAGAUACACUAUGAUAAUGUGGAGUGUCAGGUCUGUGAAGGAGAGACAUUACCCCUGGAGUCACUUUAAAGACUAGAUACACUAUGAUAAUGUGGAGUGGGGUGUCAGGUCUGACAGGGAGAGACAUUACCCCUGGAGUCACUUUAAAGACUAGAUACACUAUGAUAAUGUGGAGUGGGGUUGACUACAGUAACUUAUAGAUGUAGAGGUGGUCUCCGAGACUCAGGGUUUAGUCUAGUGCUGGACUACAAACCAAGCUCAACAGAGAAUCUACAUUGAAAAUGAUUUUUUAGUCCAUGAUUAAGCUUCACCUGUGUCUGGGAAACAGUCCCCU
Long non-coding RNA from Oncorhynchus keta (chum salmon), 846 nucleotides. RefSeq lists it as uncharacterized. NCBI's taxonomy places the organism in Eukaryota, Metazoa, Chordata, Actinopteri, Salmoniformes, Salmonidae. The transcript has 3 exons. The record is from RefSeq and is a predicted model, not a curated record.